This 253-nucleotide ribosomal RNA is filed under the name uncultured bacterium. RNAcentral describes it as "partial 16S ribosomal RNA". It matches the Rfam family "Bacterial small subunit ribosomal RNA", at positions 524 to 776 of the family's 1533-position model. The record is from RNAcentral.
UACAGAGGGUGCAAGCGUUGCUCGGAAUUAUUGGGCGUAAAGGGUCGGUAGGUGGUCUCAUUUGUCCGGGGUGAAAGCCUUGAGCUUAACUCAAGAAGUGCCCCGGAAACGGUGAGACUAGAGUCUUGGAGAGGGUCGUGGAAUUCCCGGUGUAGCGGUGAAAUGCGUAGAGAUCGGGAGGAACACCAGAGGCGAAAGCGGCGACCUGGACAAGUACUGACACUCAACUACGAAAGCGUGGGGAGCAAACAGG